This 248-nucleotide ribosomal RNA is filed under the name uncultured crenarchaeote. Its description in RNAcentral is "partial 16S ribosomal RNA". It matches the Rfam family "Archaeal small subunit ribosomal RNA", at positions 478 to 725 of the family's 1478-position model. Lineage: Archaea; Thermoproteati; Thermoproteota. The record is from RNAcentral.
AGCACCUCAAGUGGUCAGGAUGAUUAUUGGGCCUAAAGCAUCCGUAGCUCGUUUUGUAAGUUUUCGGUUAAAUCCAUGCGCUUAACGUAUGGGCUGCCGGGAAUACUGCAUAACUAGGAAGUGGGAGAGGUAGACGGUACUCGGUAGGAAGGGGUAAAAUCCUUUGAUCUAUUGAUGACCACCUGUGGCGAAGGCGGUCUACCAGAACACGUUCGACGGUGAGGGAUGAAAGCUGGGGGAGGCAAACC